GCCUUCCAGCUAGUAGUCAUAUGCUUGUCUCAAAGAUUAAGCCAUGCAUGUGCAAGUAUGAACAAAUUCAGACUGUGAAACUACGAAUGGCUCAUUAAAUCAGUUGUAGUUUGUUUGAUGGUACCUGCUACACGAAUAACCGUAGUAAUUCUGGAGCUAAUACGUGCAACAUUCCCCGACUUCCGGAAGUGAUGCAUUUAUUUGAUAAAAGGCCGACGCGGGCUCACCGCGCCGUUUUGAUGAUUCAUGAUAACUCAACGGAUCGCACGGCCCUCGUGCCGGUGACGCAUCAUUCAAAUUUCUGCCCUAUCAACUUUCAAUAGUAGCAUAAGGGCCUACCAUGGUGGUGACAGGUGAAGGAGAAUUAGGGUUCGAUUGCAGAGAAGGAGCCUGAGAAACGGCUACCACAUCCAAGGAAGGCAGCAGGCGCACAAAAUUACCCAAUCCUGACACGGGGAGGUAGUGACAAUAAAUAACAAUACCGGGCCCUUCGGGUCUGGUAAUUGGAAUGAGUACAAUCUAAAUCCCUUAACGAGGAUCCAUUAGAGGGCAAGUCUGGUGCCAGCAGCCGCGGUAAUUCCAGCUCCAAUAGCGUAUAUUUAAGUUGUUGCAGUUAAAACGCUCGCAAUCGGACCUUGGGCCGGGCCGGUCGAUCCACCUCCCGGUGUACACCGGCCAUCCCGUCCCCUCUGCUGGCGAUGUGCUCCUGGCCUUAACUGGCCGGGUCGUGCCUCCGGCACCGUUAAUUUAAAGAAAUUAGAGUGCUCAAAGCAAGCCCACGUUCUGGAUACAUUAGCAUGGGAUAACAUCAUAUGAUUUCGUUCCUAUUGUGUUGGCCUUCGGGAUCGGAGUAAUGAUUAAGAGGGACAGUCGGGGGCAUUCGUAUUUCAUAGUCAGAGGUGAAAUUCUUGUAUUUAUGAAAGAUGAACCACAGGGAAAUCAAAGUCUUUGGGUUCCGGGGGGAGUAUGGUCGCAAGGCUGAAACUUAAAGGAAUUGACGGAAGGGCACCACUAGGAGUGGAGCCUGCGGCUUAAUUUGACUCAAUACUGGGAAACUUACCAGGUCCAGACAUAGCAAGGAUUGACAGACUGAGAGCUCUUUCUUGAUUCUAUGGGUGGUGGUACAUGGUCGUUCUUAGUUGGAGGAGCGAUUUGUCUGGUUAAUUCCUAUAACGAAUGAGACCUCAGCCAGCUAACUAGCUAUGCGGAGGAAUCCCUCCGCGGCCAGCUUCUUAGAGGGACUGUGGCCGUUUAGGCCACGGAAGUUUGAGGCAAUAACAUGUUGUGUGGCGGGGGGGACACGACCCCACAACUGGCGCGGGAAGUGCUAAGGACCUCCCCACCCGAUGCAACAACGGCGCGGAGGAAAAAAACGACACAUGAGUCACACAACUCUCGGCAACGGAUAUCUCGGCUUUCGCAUCGAUAAAGAACGUAGCGAAAUACGAUACUUGGUGUGAAUUGCAGAAUCCCGUGAACCAUCGAGUCUUUGAACGCAAGUUGCGCCCGAGGCCACCCGGCCGAGGGCACGCCUGCCUGGGCGUCAUGAGAACGUGUCGCUCCGGCGCGCACGCUGAUGAAGGUCGUCAACUAAUAACCUCUCACGCAAGCGCGAGAGGGUCGU
This 1624-nucleotide ribosomal RNA is filed under the name Dioscorea alata (purple yam). RNAcentral's name for it is "SSU rRNA". It matches the Rfam family "Eukaryotic small subunit ribosomal RNA", at positions 1 to 1438 of the family's 1831-position model. The record is from RNAcentral. Lineage: Eukaryota; Viridiplantae; Streptophyta; Magnoliopsida; Dioscoreales; Dioscoreaceae.